Molecule: ribosomal RNA, 467 nt
Filed under: uncultured bacterium
Lineage: Bacteria
Description: partial 16S ribosomal RNA
Rfam family: Bacterial small subunit ribosomal RNA
Source: RNAcentral
CUACGGGCGGCUGCAGUGGGGAAUAUUGGACAAUGGGGGAAACCCUGAUCCAGCAAUGCCGCGUGUGUGAAGAAGGCCUGCGGGUUGUAAAGCACUUUCGGUUGGGAGGACUGCUUCUAGCACUAAUAUUGUUGGAAGUUGACGUUACCUUCAGAAGAAGCACCGGCUAACUCCGUGCCAGCGAGCCGCGGUAAUACGGAGGGUGCAGAGCGUUAAUCGGAAUUACUGGGCGUAAAGCGCGCGUAGGCGGCUAGAUCAGUCGGGUGUGAAAGCCCCGGGCUUAACCUGGGAACUGCAUCCGAUACUGUCUAGCUUGAGUACAGGAGAGGAGAGUGGAAUUCCACAUGUAGCGGUGAAAUGCGUAGAUAUGUGGAGGAACACCGAUGGCGAAGGCAGCUCUCUGGCCUGAUACUGACGCUGAGGUGCGAAAGCGUGGGGAGCAAACAGGAUUAGAUACCCUCGUAGUC